RNAcentral lists this non-coding RNA (31 nucleotides) under Mus musculus (house mouse). Lineage: Eukaryota; Metazoa; Chordata; Mammalia; Rodentia; Muridae. The record is from RNAcentral.
UCUUUAGGGUCUUCAAAACCNCCUUUUAAAG